This 468-nucleotide ribosomal RNA is filed under the name uncultured bacterium. RNAcentral describes it as "partial 16S ribosomal RNA". It matches the Rfam family "Bacterial small subunit ribosomal RNA", at positions 28 to 507 of the family's 1533-position model. The record is from RNAcentral.
GACGAACGCUGGCGGCGUGCUUAACACAUGCAAGUCGAACGGAAAGGCCCUGCUUUUGUGGUGUGCUCGAGUGGCGAACGGGUGAGUAACACGUGAGUAACCUGCCUUUGACUUUGGGAUAACUUCAGGAAACUGGGGCUAAUACCGGAUAGGAGCUCCUUCUGCAUGGUGGGGGUUGGAAAGUUUCGGCGGUUGGGGAUGGACUCGCGGCUUAUCAGCUUGUUGGUGGGGUAGUGGCUUACCAAGGCUUUGACGGGUAGCCGGCCUGAGAGGGUGACCGGCCACAGGGGGACUGAGAGACGGAGAAGACUGCGACGGGAGGCAGUGGGGAGGAAUAUAGAAAGAGGGGAGGAAGGAUGAAGCAGCGACGCCGGGUGGAGGAUGACGGUCUGGUGGUAGGAAACGGCUUGCGACGGUGAAGAAGAGGGAGUGACGGUAAUGGGAAAAGAAGCACCGGCUAACUACGUG